GUUUCAGUCCGACUCGUUUGAGCUAACCAUUUCUGAUCAAUUGACCUAUUGAUGUUUAAGGCAAAUUAAUAAGAUGUAGUUAUUUAAUUGAUUCCGUUAGCCGACCUGACCAAUUUAUUGGUGUCUAAGGAAGGCAAUGGGGGGACCCUCAUCGAUCUCCACUUACCUGGCCAAUUUAGAAGAUUGGGUCUUGAAUUAGGUUGCUUAGCGGUUUGGUUUAGCCCAUGCCAAU
Molecule: long non-coding RNA, 232 nt
Filed under: Elaeis guineensis (African oil palm)
Lineage: Eukaryota; Viridiplantae; Streptophyta; Magnoliopsida; Arecales; Arecaceae
Description: long non-coding RNA (EGUI_LNC049565)
Source: RNAcentral